AGGACGGCUGCUUCCGGCGCCAUAACUGCUGCCAUCUUUACGCUAUGGCUGCGUUCAGCCGUCAGCAGCCUCUUCUUAGAGCAUGACUGCAAAGAAAAAGACUUUUGUUUUGCAAAAGAAAAGCAGCUCGGUGACUCCCUCCACAUCGCCACAGUUGAGUCAGACAGCAGUGGCAGUCGUUUGCCAGCGGAAGGAGUUCCUGCUAAGGGGAGGUGCAGGAGAACUAAUUUAUUAUUGUGCAACUGCCAGUCCUGCACAUUCCAAUUAUGGUAAGUGCUCUGCACAGGCAUGUAACAAAACAUAGACCUGUUUUGAAGUGGCUUGUUACCCAAGGGUGCCUCACUCUCAUCUGCACCAACAGGAAGAUGAACUGUGAAGCCUCCUUUAAGGGGCAGGAGGAGCAAAGCUGUCCUAGGCCAACCAGAGAUUCAUCUUUCAUGCACAGUGACACGUUGAUAAGAAAUUAUAGUCAGUAUGAAACUGAUAACAGGCUGUAGAUGGCUUUCUAUGGUAUAUCCCAGUCUCUUGCAAACGAUUGUGAAGAAUGCCAGUAUUGUUUAAGAUUCAGCAGUUUGUGUGGGGAGGCGGGGGCAGGAUGGGGGUUUGGUUGCCUAAA
RNAcentral lists this small RNA (616 nucleotides) under Pongo abelii (Sumatran orangutan). Its description in RNAcentral is "retained intron". The record is from RNAcentral. Lineage: Eukaryota; Metazoa; Chordata; Mammalia; Primates; Hominidae.